AACAAGGAUUCCCUUAGUAACUGCGAGUGAAGAGGGAAAAGCUCAAAUUUAAAAUCUGGCAGUGUUUCACUGUCCGAGUUGUAACCUAGAGAAGUGUAACCUGCGCUGGACCGUGUAUAAGUCUCCUGGAAUGGAGCAUCACUGAGGGUGAGAAUCCCGUCUUUGACACGGACCACCAGUGCAUUGUGGUUGUGCUCUCAACGAGUCGAGUUGUUUGGGAAUGCAGCUCUAAAUGGGUGGUAAAUUCCAUCUAAAGCUAAAUAUUGGCGAGAGACCGAUAGCGAACAAGUACCGUGAGGGAAAGAUGAAAAGAACUUUGGAAAGAGAGUUAAACAGUAUGUGAAAUUGUUGAAAGGGAAACGUUUGAAGUCAGUCGCGUUGGUUGGGGAUCAGCCUGACAUUGUUGGGUGUACUUCCUGGUCGACGGGCCAACAUCAGUUUUGAUUGCCAGAAAAAGGCCAAAGGAAUGUGGCACCUUUGGGUGUGUUAUAGCCCUUGGUCGUAUAUGGUGGUUGGGACUGAGGAAAGCAGCGUGCCGAAAGGCYGGGUUUCGACCACGUUCACGCUGAGGAUGUUGGCAUAAUGGCUUUAAGCGACCCGUCUUGAAACACGGACCAAGGAGUCUAACAUGCAUGCGAGUGUUUGGGUGGAAAACCCUUACGCGUAAUGAAAGUGAAAGUUGAGAUCCCUGUCGUGGGGAGCAUCGACGCCCGGACCAGAACUUUUGGGACGGAUCUGCGGUAGAGCACGUAUGUUGGGACCCGAAAGAUGGUGAACUAUGCCUGAAUAGGGUGAAGCCAGAGGAAACUCUGGUGGAGGCUCGUAGCGAUUCUGACGUGCAAAUCGAUCGUCAAAUUUGGGUAUAGGGGCGAAAGACUAAUCGAACCAUCUAGUAGCUGGUUCCUGCCGA
This 910-nucleotide ribosomal RNA is filed under the name Amanita flavorubens. RNAcentral's name for it is "partial 28S ribosomal RNA". The record is from RNAcentral. Lineage: Eukaryota; Fungi; Basidiomycota; Agaricomycetes; Agaricales; Amanitaceae.